UUUGUUGUCUUCACAUCACGGUGGAUGAUGGUGUGCUUUGCACCGGUGUGAAGGUAGUGAAGACCACGAGCUGCACCAAUGCAGAUAUCCAAGCGCUGCCUCCAGGUAAGCGGUGGCUUCUGGGUCUUGUACAAGUGCUCGCGAAGAGUACCAUGAGCCAUGUAGUCAUAGACAAGGAUCAUCUCAUUCUUCUCCUCACAAUAUCCAAUCAGUGACACCAGAUGACGGUGGCGGAGCUUGGACAACAUUUCAAUCUCAGUCUGGAACUCAUGAAUACCCUGCUCAGACAACGGAUUGCCGCGCUUGAUAGCCACCUUGGUUGUUCCCCCAUCAACCUCGCCACGGUAAACUUUACCAAAUCCACCCACAC
RNAcentral lists this long non-coding RNA (370 nucleotides) under Setaria italica (foxtail millet). RNAcentral describes it as "long non-coding RNA (SITA_LNC007207)". Lineage: Eukaryota; Viridiplantae; Streptophyta; Magnoliopsida; Poales; Poaceae. The record is from RNAcentral.